UCGAGCGGGCGUAGCAAUACGUCAGCGGCAGACGGGUGAGUAACGCGUGGGAACGUACCUUUUGGUUCGGAACAACACAGGGAAACUUGUGCUAAUACCGGAUAAGCCCUUACGGGGAAAGAUUUAUCGCCGAAAGAUCGGCCCGCGUCUGAUUAGCUAGUUGGUAGGGUAACGGCCUACCAAGGCGACGAUCAGUAGCUGGUCUGAGAGGAUGAUCAGCCACAUUGGGACUGAGACACGGCCCAAACUCCUACGGGAGGCAGCAGUGGGGAAUAUUGGACAAUGGGGGCAACCCUGAUCCAGCCAUGCCGCGUGAGUGAUGAAGGCCCUAGGGUUGUAAAGCUCUUUUGUGCGGGAAGAUAAUGACGGUACCGCAAGAAUAAGCCCCGGCUAACUUCGUGCCAGCAGCCGCGGUAAUACGAAGGGGGCUAGCGUUGCUCGGAAUCACUGGGCGUAAAGGGUGCGUAGGCGGGUCUUUAAGUCAGGGGUGAAAUCCUGGAGCUCAACUCCAGAACUGCCUUUGAUACUGAAGAUCUUGAGUUCGGGAGAGGUGAGUGGAACUGCGAGUGUAGAGGUGAAAUUCGUAGAUAUUCGCAAGAACACCAGUGGCGAAGGCGG
Molecule: ribosomal RNA, 618 nt
Filed under: Bradyrhizobium japonicum
Lineage: Bacteria; Pseudomonadati; Pseudomonadota; Alphaproteobacteria; Hyphomicrobiales; Nitrobacteraceae
Description: bacterial SSU rRNA
Rfam family: Bacterial small subunit ribosomal RNA
Source: RNAcentral